RNAcentral lists this ribosomal RNA (253 nucleotides) under uncultured bacterium. RNAcentral's name for it is "partial 16S ribosomal RNA". It matches the Rfam family "Bacterial small subunit ribosomal RNA", at positions 524 to 776 of the family's 1533-position model. The record is from RNAcentral.
UACAGAGGUCUCAAGCGUUGUUCGGAUUCAUUGGGCGUAAAGGGUGCGUAGGCGGUUCGCUAAGUUGAAUGUGAAAACUCUGGGCUUAACCCAGAGCCUGCAUCCAAAACUGGCGAACUGGAGUACUGGAGGGGAAAGCGGAAUUCCUGGUGUAGCGGUGAAAUGCGUAGAUAUCAGGAGGAACACCGGUGGCGAAGGCGGCUUUCUGGACAGUAACUGACGCUGAGGCGCGAAAGCCGGGGGAGCAAACAGG